AGAGUUUGAUCCUGGCUCAGAUUGAACGCUGGCGGCAGGCCUAACACAUGCAAGUCGAACGGUAACAUUUCUAGCUUGCUAGAAGAUGACGAGUGGCGGACGGGUGAGUAAUGCUUGGGAACUUGCCUUUGCGAGGGGGAUAACAGUUGGAAACGACUGCUAAUACCGCAUAACGUCUACGGACCAAACGGGGCUUAGGCUCCGGCGCAAAGAGAGGCCCAAGUGAGAUUAGCUAGUUGGUAAGGUAAUGGCUUACCAAGGCAACGAUCUCUAGCUGUUCUGAGAGGAAGAUCAGCCACACUGGAACUGAGACACGGUCCAGACCCCUACGGGAGGCAGCAGUGGGGAAUAUUGCACAAUGGGGGAAACCCUGAUGCAGCCAUGCCGCGUGUGUGAAGAAGGCCUUCGGGUUGUAAAGCACUUUCAGUUGUGAGGAAAAGUUAGUAGUUAAUACCUGCUAGCCGUGACGUUAACAACAGAAGAAGCACCGGCUAACUCCGUGCCAGCAGCCGCGGUAAUACGGAGGGUGCGAGCGUUAAUCGGAAUUACUGGGCGUAAAGCGCACGCAGGCGGUUUGUUAAGCUAGAUGUGAAAGCCCCGGGCUCAACCUGGGAUAGUCAUUUAGAACUGGCAGACUAGAGUCUUGGAGAGGGGAGUGGAAUUCCAGGUGUAGCGGUGAAAUGCGUAGAUAUCUGGAGGAACAUCAGUGGCGAAGG
RNAcentral lists this ribosomal RNA (716 nucleotides) under uncultured marine microorganism. RNAcentral describes it as "bacterial SSU rRNA". It matches the Rfam family "Bacterial small subunit ribosomal RNA", at positions 8 to 721 of the family's 1533-position model. The record is from RNAcentral.